This 212-nucleotide long non-coding RNA is filed under the name Lathyrus oleraceus (garden pea). Its description in RNAcentral is "Pisum sativum (pea) long non-coding RNA (PSAT_LNC002025)". Lineage: Eukaryota; Viridiplantae; Streptophyta; Magnoliopsida; Fabales; Fabaceae. The record is from RNAcentral.
UUAAAACAAAAUAGAAGGAUCAUGUGGUCUGGAGACAUGCCAACACAUCGCCAGAGCCAGAGCUCCGGUCUUCUUCUCCGGUGGACCUCACCGGACUGGUCCACCUUUAACCAUCACCAAAAUAAAAAAGGAGGACGUGAAUUUAAAGUAAAAAUGCUCAUGAACUCAAAUCUGGCAUCAAUUUCACCUAACUCCAAGUAUAUAGAAAGAUA